CUCCAACCUAUCAUCGACAAGAUUGCGGGUAGACUGUCGGGUUGGAACGGAAAGCUACUAAAUAAGCCCGGCAAGGUCGCUCUAGCUCAAUCAGUUCUAACGGCUAUGGCGACUUUCCACAUCUCCGCUCUCAGCCUGCCGAAAUGGAUCCUGGGAAAGGUUGAGAAGAUCAUUCGCAGGUUUCUAUGGCAGAAAGAGGACGAAACGCAAACUUCUGGAGGGCACUCCCUCGUUAACUGGAAGACCGACUGUCGUCCAAGGAGGUUGGGCGGCCUGGGAAUCGCGGAAUAUGAGCGUUUUGGCCGCUCCCUCCGCCUUCGCUGGCCCUGGUUACAAUGGACGGACCCGGAUAUGCCAUGGGUGGGCUCUGACCUGCCAUGCGACCAGGCUGAUAUGAACCAUUUUCGCGCAAGCACAACCAUAACUUUGGGAGAUGGCCGCAAGGCACUUUUCUGGCAUGACAACUAGAGCGGAAGGGCCCCUCUAAUACUACUUGCUCCGGAGCUUUACAAAAUAGCUUCAAGGAAAUAUAGGACCGUGCAUCACGAGUUGACAAAUGAUAACUGGAUCAGAGCAGUCGCUAGCCUUCAAUCCCUGCAACAACUGGGGGAAUGUUUCACUCUAUCAGGAUAG
This 633-nucleotide ribosomal RNA is filed under the name Triticum aestivum (bread wheat). RNAcentral's name for it is "partial small subunit ribosomal RNA". Lineage: Eukaryota; Viridiplantae; Streptophyta; Magnoliopsida; Poales; Poaceae. The record is from RNAcentral.